UGGGGAAUAUUGCGCAAUGGGCGAAAGCCUGACGCAGCAACGCCGCGUGAGUGAGGAAGGCCCUCGGGUUGUAAAGCUCUGUCAGAUGGGAAGAACAUCAGUUGGUCUAAUAGGCCUUCUGCCUGACGGUACCAUCAAAGGAAGCACCGGCUAACUUCGUGCCAGCAGCCGCGGUAAUACGAAGGGUGCAAGCGUUGUUCGGAUUUACUGGGCGUAAAGCGCGCGCAGGCGGAUUGUUAAGCCAGAUGUGAAAUCUCGGGGCCCAACCCCGAAACUGCGUCUGGAACUGAUAAUCUAGAAUCUUGGAGAGGGAAGUGGAAUUUCGCAUGUAGGGGUAAAAUCCGUAGAGAUGCGAAGGAACACCAGAGGCGAAGGCGGCUUCCUGGCCAAGUAUUGACGCUGAGGCGCGAAAGCGUGGGGAGCAAACAGG
Molecule: ribosomal RNA, 430 nt
Filed under: uncultured bacterium
Lineage: Bacteria
Description: bacterial SSU rRNA
Rfam family: Bacterial small subunit ribosomal RNA
Source: RNAcentral